AAAAGGAUGACUAUAAUAAAAAGGAUCAUUGGGUUACAGUUAAUUUGAUUUUAAUCAAAAGCAGGCAAAUAAAUCGAAACAGUUUUAAGUAAUAAAAUUCAAUCAAAAUUCACAUUAAUUUUUAAUAAUUCUUCCCAAACGGAAACUUGAAUCAACAUCGCUUUGCUGCCAAUGGGAACCCACAAAAGUAUUUAUAAACAAAAUCUAUGGAGUUUCUAAAUAAGCUUAGCAUGGAGCACUGCUACUCUGUGAUUGAUGUGAAGUAGAAGAAACACACACACACAAUGCAUCUUCUACAGCUAUAUCUGAAUUUGUCCAGAUAACAGCCGAUUUUACUGUUGGAAUUAUCAAUAUGGGAAGAAAGCAAACAUUCAGCUGCAAUCCUCAAUAGCUGGGGCAUACUGAUACCUGUCAUCAAAGAAAAUAAUAAGAAACCCUUGGAAGUUGGAACUUUCAGAUACCUUCCUAUUUUAACAUUGAUAAUGGGCAAACAAUAUUACUGAAAGCAUGAUCCAAUUCAUGCUACACUACUGAAUGUGAUAUAUUUCGGACUUUCUUAUAUUUAGCAAAUCCAUCACACAGCUCAGUAUCAGUCUAGCACCAGGCAUAAAUAGGGAGGCUAUUGUAAUUUGUAAGGUAAUAGUUUGCCCUCGAGCACCCUAUCAGAAAAUGAAGUCAUUAAGCUGAAUAUGUUUGUUAUUCUCUGCAUUCUUAUUAACGAUAUAUGCUCCAUCCUCUAUGUCAGCAUUCAAGCAAUUCAUCCUAUGCCAUUCAAAGUGAUCUUCACAGCAAACAGAACCCCAGAUCAUUGAUAAUCCAGCUCCUUUCCAAGUUGCAGUAUGCAUAUCAUAGAACUUGUCAAAAGCUUUAUCAAAACAGUAAUGGCAAGCCAUAAGUUCCCUGAUGUUGGUCACCCUGCAUGUUGAUUUGCAGCAUUUCACCUGCAGGGGUUAUAUGUGACAUUAUUAACUACAAUGUGUUUUUGUAUGUUUGUUUCUUAUUCAUUUUUAAUGAAUCAUUGACACACUGUGUCCAAGUGAAAUGCAACUAAUAAUGCACCCCUUUACACAACAAGGGCUCACCUAACUUGGGAAAUGUUAUCAAAAUUGAAAAGAUCAUCAGUUGUAUAAUACGCAAGGCAGUAUCUACAUGCUAUACAUAUUUCUGCAUUAUGCUUUAUUUGGACCUUCGACCAUGGAGCAGGGGCAGAAAAUAUAACUUCUCAUGUUAUAAAGACAUGAGGUAAAACUCAAAUGAGUAUAGCAAUGCAGCACUUGAAUGUUACAAGCAGAAAUUAGAUUUUAUACUAAUCACAAGUACAUAUUAGAAUCUUCAGCUUAGCUAAAUAUAUCUCAUCAAAGUAAUGGAUCUUUGAGAGAAUAAAACAAGCCCUUAGUCAGGGUACUAUUCAAAAUCAAUAUUAGGUUUCUAUAUUGCUGACCUCAAAAACUUUAAAAUUAUCAAAACCAGCCCAGAUCGUCUUGUGUCUAAUGAUUAUAUACACAAUGCAAAUCAAGUCACUAGCAAAGAAUUACAAGUAAUAUGAACCUAAAUAUAGAGUGAACGGUAGUUAAAGAUAUAUUUACCAAACGUUUAAGUUUAUGAGAGUAAUAUUGCCGAUGGCUUGGAUGUGUCCUUAUAUGCUCAUCCAAAUGACCAGCACUGAAAUGGAAGCCAAUAUAAGCCCAGUCUAUAAAUAACAUCAAACCAUAUUAAUUUUGCUAGGCAAAGCAAAGAAUCAACUGCUUAUCAUAUAACAUAACAAUCAUGUUGCCUUCUAUCAAGCUCAAGCAGUAUAACAUCCAUCCUUUCCCUGGAAUAUAUAUAUACAUGCUUUCACCGCGCUUUCAUAGCUCAAACAAACAAGAAAACAUAUUGAUCAACUUCUUUACAUCAAAUACUAUAAACACCCAUCACCUUUCCCAUUCAUUAACAGCUAAGGCACACAACUAAUAUAAUGGCAAAUAUCCUACAGUUCCACUAACUGAAAAUGCGUUCUUAAUUGACUUAUGGAAUUAACUACCAGCCAUCAAUCACUCAGAAGAAUCUGAUACUAUAUUGUGCAAAUUACUUGACAUCCAAAUUAUACAAAUAACGUAGAGCAACUAGAGAGAGAGAAAAUAAAAGAAGAAGGGGUUGGCGGAGGGGGGGCCGUGGCGCCUGUUGAGACCAUGAAAAGCAGAAAUGAUAGGAGAACAACAGAAUAUAAUCCCAAAUUAAGAAAUCUAACAAUAGCUGAUAAUGAGAUACAAGUUGUGCUUACUUGUCACAAAGGACUGCACUACAAUGAAGGCAUGUUGCCAAACUUAAAGAACUGCGGCAUACAUUGCAGUUUGCUGCUGACAAAUUUUUACCUAUCUGAUGACAUCUUCUGUAAAGUCCAAGAAGAUCUUUGCAUAUUGGAUUCUUGUUCUGCCCUUCUGACACCUGGUUACAUGUUGUCACCAAACAAUCUUCUGCAAGGUGACCAGGCCUCUGGCAUUUCCAACACUUGUAAGUACAAAGAUUAGAUCUCUUCUUGGACCAGCAAUUGUGGUUAUAAUCCCAAGUGUCCUCCCCAAGCUCAGGCAUUGAUGACGUACAUUUAGGUCCAGAAGAAGGAUGAUCUAGCUUUUGGUUGCUUAACUCACGCUUAGCAAGUUUAAGCCUUUGUAGAAGUUCAGCUUUGCAUUCUAGACUGCAGAUAUCAUCAUCAGUCUCAUUGCAUAUAUAUUCUCCAUAUUUUCCACAUACCACACAAACAGGUUCUGCUGGGGCAGGAAACCGUUGCUCACUUCUAGUCUUGAUCUCUUCAACUUCAUUUGUGAGGCCAGAAUGUUGGGUGCCCUCCUCAUCAGAUUCUGAAGCACUUUCAUCGCCUGAGUUUUUAUGGACAAAAUAUGUCAAUAAUAGAUAUGCUCAACACUCUCUCCCUACUUCCAUAGUUUAACAAAUUUAAAACCGAACUAGAAGUUCCCAAAACAUCAGCAGUUAAUGGUUCGUAAGGAUGAGAUGACCUCACUUCCUUCCUUCUCUUAUCUAUGUAAUCCUGGUGAGUCAUCGGUCCAUCAUGCUCUUCGACUUCACCACGCUUAUAAGACCGUGGAUUUUCCGUCGAGCAGCGUUUCUGACCAGCCUUUUUGCAGCCGCGUCUAUCAUUCCCUUCAUCACGGUAUUGUUGCUCUUGGGUCACAAGGGCACUCCCAGUUGCGACGUUAUAAGCUUGGAGAUUUUGAAUAACAGAAGAGAGACUGAAGUCCUUUUUGUAAGAGAUUGAAGGAUUCUUGUAGAAAUUCGUCCUCGUCCCCAUUCUAUCUCUUCUAUUUUGGUGCGAAUGCGAUUACGAUUUCACAGUUCAGAGAGAGUGCCUUUGGAAAGAAAAGAGAAAACGGUGCGUUUGGUAAAGGGCGAGGGAGAGAACCACAAAC
This 3407-nucleotide unclassified non-coding RNA is filed under the name Hevea brasiliensis (rubber tree). Lineage: Eukaryota; Viridiplantae; Streptophyta; Magnoliopsida; Malpighiales; Euphorbiaceae. The record is from RNAcentral.